GCGCGGGUAGCUUAGUCGGCUGGAGCACCCGGCUGAUAACCGGGAGGUCGCAGGUUCGAGUCCUGCCUCGCGCACCA
This 77-nucleotide transfer RNA is filed under the name Methanobacteriota archaeon. RNAcentral's name for it is "Euryarchaeota archaeon (marine metagenome) tRNA-Ile". It matches the Rfam family "tRNA". From Rfam's summary of the family: Transfer RNA (tRNA) molecules are approximately 80 nucleotides in length. Their secondary structure includes four short double-helical elements and three loops (D, anti-codon, and T loops). Lineage: Archaea; Methanobacteriati; Methanobacteriota. The record is from RNAcentral. RNAcentral also lists the same sequence under 3 other names.